This is a non-coding RNA of Potamilus streckersoni, 73 nucleotides long. NCBI's taxonomy places the organism in Eukaryota, Metazoa, Mollusca, Bivalvia, Unionida, Unionidae. The record is from the annotation of a GenBank genome assembly.
GCUUCGGUGGACUAGUGGUUAGAGCGCCCAUCUCAGAUGCGGGACGUCGCGGGUUCGAACCCCGGCCGAAUCC